UGCCAGCCGCCGCGGUAAUACAGAGGGUGCGAGCGUUAAUCGGAAUUAUUGGGCGUAAAGGGCGUGUAGGCGGAUGUUUAAGUUAGGUGUGAAAUACUCAGGCUCAACCUGGGGACUGCAUCUAAAACUGGGCAUCUAGAGUAUAGUAGAGGGAAGUGGAAUUUCCGGAGUAGCGGUGGAAUGCAUAGAUACCGGAAGGAACAUCAGUGGCGAAGGCGGCUUCCUGGACUAAUACUGACGCUGAGGCGCGAAAGCAUGGGUAGCAAACAGGAUUAGAUA
RNAcentral lists this ribosomal RNA (279 nucleotides) under uncultured bacterium. RNAcentral's name for it is "partial 16S ribosomal RNA". It matches the Rfam family "Bacterial small subunit ribosomal RNA", at positions 506 to 784 of the family's 1533-position model. The record is from RNAcentral.